UACGGAGGGUGCGAGCGUUAAUCGGAAUUACUGGGCGUAAAGCGCACGUAGGCGGUUGCGUAAGUCGAUUGUGAAAGCCCCGGGCUUAACUUGGGAAUUGCAGUCGAUACUGCGCAGCUAGAGUGUGGUAGAGGGAAGUGGAAUUCCGGGUGUAGCGGUGAAAUGCGUAGAUAUCCGGAGGAACACCAGUGGCGAAGGCGGCUUCCUGGACCAACACUGACGCUGAGGUGCGAAAGCGUGGGGAGCAAACAGG
RNAcentral lists this ribosomal RNA (253 nucleotides) under uncultured Alkalilimnicola sp. Its description in RNAcentral is "partial 16S ribosomal RNA". It matches the Rfam family "Bacterial small subunit ribosomal RNA", at positions 524 to 776 of the family's 1533-position model. The record is from RNAcentral. Lineage: Bacteria; Pseudomonadati; Pseudomonadota; Gammaproteobacteria; Chromatiales; Ectothiorhodospiraceae.